GACGAACGCUGGCGGCGUGCUUAACACAUGCAAGUCGAACGGAAAGGCCCUGCUUUUGUGGGGUGCUCGAGUGGCGAACGGGUGAGUAACACGUGAGUAACCUGCCCUUGACUUUGGGAUAACUUCAGGAAACUGGGUCUAAUACCGGAUAGGAGCUCCUGCUGCAUGGUGGGGGUUGGAAAGUUUCGGCGGUUGGGGAGGUACUCGCGGCUUAUCAGCUUGUUGGUGGGGUAGUGGCUUACCAAGGCUUUGACGGGUAGCCGGCCUGAGAGGGUGACCGGCCACAUUGGGACUGAGAUACGGCCCAGACUCCUACGGGAGGCAGCAGUGGGGAAUAUUGCACAAUGGGCGGAAGCCUGAUGCAGCAACGCCGCGUGCGGGAUGGCGGCCUUCGGGUUGUAAACCGCUUUCGCCUGUGACGAAGCGUGAGUGACGGUAAUGGGGAAAGAAGCACCGGCUAACUACGU
Molecule: ribosomal RNA, 467 nt
Filed under: uncultured bacterium
Lineage: Bacteria
Description: partial 16S ribosomal RNA
Rfam family: Bacterial small subunit ribosomal RNA
Source: RNAcentral